UACGUAGGGGGCAAGCGUUGUCCGGAUUUAUUGGGCGUAAAGAGCGUGUAGGCGGCUAGGUAGGUCCGUUGUGAAAACUCGAGGCUCAACCUCGAGCUGUCGAUGGAAACCAUCUGGCUAGAGUCCGGAAGAGGAGAGUGGAAUUCCUGGUGUAGCGGUGAAAUGCGCAGAUAUCAGGAAGAACACCAGUGGCGAAGGCGGCUCUCUGGUACGUGACUGACGCUGAGACGCGAAAGCGUGGGGAGCGAACAGG
RNAcentral lists this ribosomal RNA (253 nucleotides) under uncultured bacterium. RNAcentral describes it as "partial 16S ribosomal RNA". It matches the Rfam family "Bacterial small subunit ribosomal RNA", at positions 524 to 776 of the family's 1533-position model. The record is from RNAcentral.